This 58-nucleotide ribosomal RNA is filed under the name Fusarium equiseti. RNAcentral describes it as "partial 28S ribosomal RNA". Lineage: Eukaryota; Fungi; Ascomycota; Sordariomycetes; Hypocreales; Nectriaceae. The record is from RNAcentral.
CCUCGGAUCAGGUAGGAAUACCCGCUGAACUUAAGCAUAUCAUACAAUAAGCGGAGGA